CUCGUCAUGCUGACCCACCACACACCUCCUAGACCCCUUGAGGGCUGUCAAGUACCAGAUUAACAGUUGUUUCUUCCCUGGAAGGUAUCAGAAUCAGAGGUUCCUGCUACUCAUUUUUUCUUUCCAUGCCCCUUGGCAGUCAUCAUUCCACCUGACCAUUUGAUUUCUUUCUUAUUCUCUUGUCUUCGGUUCAGGCGUUUCUUGUAUUAUUUUUUUUUUCUUUUUUUU
This 228-nucleotide long non-coding RNA is filed under the name Lathyrus oleraceus (garden pea). RNAcentral describes it as "Pisum sativum (pea) long non-coding RNA (PSAT_LNC011047)". Lineage: Eukaryota; Viridiplantae; Streptophyta; Magnoliopsida; Fabales; Fabaceae. The record is from RNAcentral.